UCGCCACAUGAUGGGGGUGCGUUACAUUAGGUUGUUGGUAGGGUAAAAGCCUACCAAGCCGAUGAUGUAUAGCGGGGUUGAGAAGCUGAUCCGCCACACUAGGACUGAGAUACGGCCUAGACUUCUACGGAAGGCAGCAGCAGGGAAUUUUCCACAAUGAGCGAAAGCUUGAUGGAGCGACACAGCGUGCAGGAUGAAGGUCUUAGGAUUGUAAACUGCUGUGGUAAGGGAAGAAAUGCUAAAAAAGGAAAUGUUUUUAGUUUGACGGUACCUUACUAGAAAGCACCGGCAAACUAUGUGCCAGCAGCCGCGGUAAUACAUAGGGUGCAAGCGUUAUCCGGAAUUAUUGGGCGUAAAGCGUUCGUAGGUGGUGUAUUAAGUCUAAAGUUAAAGCCUGGAGCUCAACUCCAGUCCGCUUUGGAUACUAAUAUACUAGAGUUAUGAAGAGGUUAGUGGAACUCCAUGUGAAGCGGUGGAAUGCGUAGAUAUAUGGAAGAACACCAAUGGCGAAGGCAACUAACUGGUCAUAUACUGACACUGAGGGACGAAAGCGUGGGGAGCAAACAGGAUUAGAUACCCUGGUAGUCCACGCUGUAAACGAUGCUUGUUAGCUGGUGGUAGAAUCACUAGCGCAGUUAACACAUUAAACAAGCCGCCUGAGUAGUAUGCUCGCAAGAGUGAAACUUAAAGGAAUUGACGGGGACCCCGCACAAGCGUGGAGCAUGUGGUUUAAUUCGAAGCUACGCGCAGAACCUUUACCACUNCUGACAUCCUGGNNCAAGCUAUAGAGAUAUAGUGGAAGUUAACCNAGUGACAGGUGGUGCAUGGCUGUCGUCAGCUCGUGUCNUGAGAUGUU
Molecule: ribosomal RNA, 856 nt
Filed under: uncultured bacterium
Lineage: Bacteria
Description: bacterial SSU rRNA
Rfam family: Bacterial small subunit ribosomal RNA
Source: RNAcentral